Molecule: ribosomal RNA, 465 nt
Filed under: uncultured bacterium
Lineage: Bacteria
Description: partial 16S ribosomal RNA
Rfam family: Bacterial small subunit ribosomal RNA
Source: RNAcentral
GCGGCGUGCUUCAUACAUGCAAGUCGAACGAGAAGCAGGAGCUUGCUCCUGUGGAAAGUGGCGGACGGGUGAGUAACACGUAGGAAAUCUGCCUUUGGGUGGGGGACAACAGUUGGAAACGACUGCUAAUACCCCAUAUGAGCUUGGUUGCAAUACCAAUCUUGAAAACUCCGGUGCCUAAAGAUGAGCCUGCGUCUGAUUAGCUUGUUGGCGGGAUAAUGGCCCACCAAGGCGACGAUCAGUAGCUGGUUUGAGAGGAUGAUCAGCCACAAUGGGACUGAGACACGGCCCAUACUCCUACGGGAGGCAGCGGUAGGGAAUUUUGCGCAAUGGGGGAAACCCUGACGCAGCAACGCCGCGUGAAUGACGAAGCCCUUCGGGGUGUAAAGUUCUGUCAGUAGGGAAGAAUUUUGACUGUACCUACAAAGGAAGCACCGGCUAACUCCGUGCCAGCCGCCGCCGUAA